CUCUUUGGGCAAAAAUCGUCAG
This 22-nucleotide non-coding RNA is filed under the name Arabidopsis thaliana (thale cress). Lineage: Eukaryota; Viridiplantae; Streptophyta; Magnoliopsida; Brassicales; Brassicaceae. The record is from RNAcentral.